CUGUGUGAACCAUGAGCUCGUGGCGAAGAAGUUUGCCUGUUUCAUGAAAGAGGAGUCCAGUGCGCUGGAACAGGAACGGAGAUCGUGCUCCUGUCAGCCUGGCGUGGGACAUCUACUCCAGCCCUCACCAGCUCUUAGAAAUGAAAGGAUGCUGUCCUGUCAAACCUCCACCGUUCUCCAUUCUCACCAGAAAAGAGCAGAAAGAUGAUUGUCAGACAGAAGCAGAAGAAGUUUCUCAUCUGGAGAGGCAGAAACCACAGGUGUCAGAGGAAGCAGACAUGCUAUCUCAGGUUAACCCUCAAGUCUCUAAACUGACCCGCAAUGCUGGAACGGAUACUAUUGGCAGAGGAUGGCGUAUCAGAGCCGAGGCCACAGAUGAACGCUGUGCUCAGACUGAUAUACACAAGCCUCAGUAAGUAAUUACCAACUCUGCUGAGGAGACCGAGCAUGUGUAUAAGGUACGGAAUUCCAUGAUCCACCAAUCAGAUUUAAGAACCCAAUCAUUCCUCUGUGGUGAUGAAGAUCAUGCUUAACAUUACAGAAUGAUUUCACGAGAGGUUGUCCAUUUUCUACUGGCAGUUAAAAUGUUUGCUAUUUGAGAUUAUGGCAGUAUUUUGAACCACUAAUGUCCACUUAAUAGCCUCUGAUUCUGAUGGAUUUUACUGUAAUGCACAUCUGUCAUUCAGGCUGUAGUCAACACUGCUGUCUUCACACUGAAAGCUCAUGAAGGUGUGAC
Molecule: long non-coding RNA, 736 nt
Organism: Cyprinus carpio (common carp)
Lineage: Eukaryota; Metazoa; Chordata; Actinopteri; Cypriniformes; Cyprinidae
Source: Ensembl